RNAcentral lists this ribosomal RNA (301 nucleotides) under uncultured bacterium. RNAcentral describes it as "partial 16S ribosomal RNA". It matches the Rfam family "Bacterial small subunit ribosomal RNA", at positions 509 to 807 of the family's 1533-position model. The record is from RNAcentral.
CAGCCGCCGCGGGAACACGCAGGUGGCAAGCGUUGUCCGGAAUUAUUGGGCGUAAAGGGCUCGCAGGCGGUUUCUUAAGUCUGAUGUGAAAGCCCCCGGCUCAACCGGGGAGGGUCAUUGGAAACUGGGAAACUUGAGUGCAGAAGAGGAGAGUGGAAUUCCACGUGUAGCGGUGAAAUGCGUAGAGAUGUGGAGGAACACCAGUGGCGAAGGCGACUCUCUGGUCUGUAACUGACGCUGAGGAGCGAAAGCGUGGGGAGCGAACAGGAUUAGAUACCCCAGUAGUCCCUGUCUCUUAUAC